RNAcentral lists this ribosomal RNA (368 nucleotides) under uncultured bacterium. RNAcentral's name for it is "bacterial SSU rRNA". It matches the Rfam family "Bacterial small subunit ribosomal RNA", at positions 28 to 396 of the family's 1533-position model. The record is from RNAcentral.
GACGAACGCUGGCGGCGUGCUUAACACAUGCAAGUCGAGCGGUAAGGCCCUUUCGGGGGUACACGAGCGGCGAACGGGUGAGUAACACGUGGGUGACCUGCCCUCAGCUCUGGGAUAAGCCUGGGAAACCGGGUCUAAUACUGGAUAUGACUCCAUGACGCAUGUUGUGGGGUGGAAAGCCUUGUGCGGCUGGGGAGUGGGCCCGCGGCCUAUCAGCUUGUUGGUGGGGUGAUGGCCUACCAAGGCGACGACGGGUAGCCGGCCUGAGAGGGCGACCGGCCACACUGGGACUGAGACACGGCCCAGACUCCUACGGGAGGCAGCAGUGGGGAAUCUUGCGCAAUGGGCGAAAGCCUGACGCAGCGACG